Molecule: ribosomal RNA, 360 nt
Filed under: oligotrophic bacterium
Lineage: Bacteria
Description: bacterial SSU rRNA
Rfam family: Bacterial small subunit ribosomal RNA
Source: RNAcentral
ACCGGCAGACGGGUGAGUUACGCGUGGGAACGUACCAUUUGGCUCGGAACAACACAGGGAAACUUGUGCUAAUACCGGAUAAGCCCUUCCGGGGGAAGAUUUAUCUCCGAAAGAUCGGACCGCGUCUGAUUAGCUAGUUGGUGGGGUUAUGGCCCACCAAGGCGACGAUCAGUAGCUGGUCUGAGAGGAUGAUCAGCCACAUUGGGACUGAGACACGGUCCCAAACUCCUACGGGAGGCAGCAGUGGGGAAUAUUGGACAAUGGGGACAACCCUGAUCCAGCCAUGCCGCGUGAGUGAUGAAGGCCCUAGGGUUGUAAAGCUCUUUUGUGCGGGAAGAUAAUGACGGUACCGCAAGAAUA